GGGGAAUAUUGCACAAUGGAGGAAACUCUGAUGCAGCGACGCCGCGUGAACGAUGAAGGCCUUCGGGUCGUAAAGUUCUGUCCUAGGGGACGAUAAUGACGGUACCCUAGGAGGAAGCCCCGGCUAACUACGUGCCAGCAGCCGCGGUAAUACGUAGGGGGCGAGCGUUGUCCGGAAUUAUUGGGCGUAAAGGGUUCGCAGGCGGUUUUUUAAGUCAGAUGUGAAAGACAUAGGCUCAACCUAUGUAAGCAUUUGAAACUGAAAGACUUGAGUUAUGGAGAGGAAAGUGGAAUUCCUAGUGUAGCGGUGAAAUGCGUAGAUAUUAGGAGGAAUACCAGUGGCGAAGGCGACUUUCUGGACAUUAACUGACGCUGAGGAACGAAAGCGUGGGGAGCAAAC
This 399-nucleotide ribosomal RNA is filed under the name uncultured bacterium. Its description in RNAcentral is "bacterial SSU rRNA". It matches the Rfam family "Bacterial small subunit ribosomal RNA", at positions 356 to 773 of the family's 1533-position model. The record is from RNAcentral.